CCUACGGGAGGCAGCAGUGAGGAAUAUUGGUCAAUGGGCGCAAGCCUGAACCAGCCAAGUCGCGUGAAGGAUGACGGCCCUACGGGUUGUAAACUUCUUUUAUCAGAGAAUAAAGUGAGGCACGUGUGCCUUUUUGUAUGUACUUUAUGAAUAAGGAUCGGCUAACUCCGUGCCCGCAGCCGCGGUAAUACGGAGGCUCCGAGCGUUAUCCGGAUUUAUUGGGGUUAAAGGGAGCGUAGAGGGGUUGUUAAGUCAGAGGUGAAAUUUUGCGGCUUAACCCUCAAACUGCAAUUGAUACUGGCAGUCGUGAGGAGAGUUGAGGUAGGCGGAAUUCGGGGGGUAGCGGGGAAAUGCUUAGAUAUCACGAAGAACUCCGAUUGCGAAGGCAGCUUACUAAACGGCCACUGACAGUGAUGCUCGAAAGUGUGGGUAUCAAACAGGAUUAGAUACCCCAGUAGUC
Molecule: ribosomal RNA, 460 nt
Filed under: uncultured bacterium
Lineage: Bacteria
Description: partial 16S ribosomal RNA
Rfam family: Bacterial small subunit ribosomal RNA
Source: RNAcentral